RNAcentral lists this ribosomal RNA (226 nucleotides) under uncultured bacterium. RNAcentral describes it as "partial 16S ribosomal RNA". It matches the Rfam family "Bacterial small subunit ribosomal RNA", at positions 16 to 231 of the family's 1533-position model. The record is from RNAcentral.
GACCUGGCUCAGGAUGAACGCUAGCUACAGGCUUAACACAUGCAAGUCGAGGGGCAGCGAUGAAGAAAGCUUGCUUUCUUCAGGCGGCGACCGGCGCACGGGUGAGUAACGCGUAUCGAACCUGCCUCAUACUCAGGAAUAGCCUUGCGAAAGUAAGAUUAAUGCCCGAUGUUAUUAGAGUAUCACAUGAUGCUUUAAUUAAAGAUUUAUCGGUAUGAGAUGGCGA